UGUUUUGAAUCCUGAACUCCUGCUAUGACUCAUACCCCUAUUUCUCCAAUUUGUUCAUCCAGGCGCUCCUGGAAGAUCACUUUAUUCCGUGCAUUUAUGGCAAUACUUAAUAAGCAUACUAUUAUUUGCAGUUUUGACUCAAGAACACAACUGAGAUUUCCAGCUCUCGUUUGCAGUGCCCAGGCAGUGAAACACAGAUAUACUAUAAGAGGAUCUUCCAAGCCUCCCAGAAGACUCAGUAUGUUUUCUACUUGUACAGGCUCAGCUCUGCCAACAGAGAAAGGAUCUCUGACUGUCCUGUUCAUGAGUUAG
Molecule: long non-coding RNA, 312 nt
Filed under: Apteryx rowi (Okarito brown kiwi)
Lineage: Eukaryota; Metazoa; Chordata; Aves; Apterygiformes; Apterygidae
Description: lncRNA (ENSARWG00000010645.1)
Source: RNAcentral